CAUUAUUAAUAUAGGUUUUAAAUGUGAUGAAAAGUUGUGUUAAUGGUGCCAGAGGCUCUCACAUGCCUGGCCACUUGAUCCGGGACAUUUUAUAUUUUGACUCCUCCAUUCUUAGUAGCUUAUGUCGGCUUUUGUAUAUAUCAGAACAAGCAUUGGAGAAAUCAAGUUUAAGCGCUUGGUAUGGCUUGAAGGAAGCUGAAGACUUGCAAGAGGUUUCCUGCUCUGUAUUG
Long non-coding RNA from Phalaenopsis equestris, 230 nucleotides. RefSeq lists it as uncharacterized. The transcript has 2 exons. The record is from RefSeq and is a predicted model, not a curated record. Lineage: Eukaryota; Viridiplantae; Streptophyta; Magnoliopsida; Asparagales; Orchidaceae.